UACGUAGGGGGCAAGCGUUGUCCGGAAUCAUUGGGCGUAAAGAGCGUGUAGGCGGCCCGAUAAGUCCGCUGUGAAAGUCCAGGGCUCAACCCUGGGAUGCCGGUGGAUACUGUCGGGCUCGAGUCCGGAAGAGGAGUGUGGAAUUCCUGGUGUAGCGGUGAAAUGCGCAGAUAUCAGGAGGAACACCGGUGGCGAAGACGGAUCUCUGGGCCUUACCUGACGCUCAGGUGCGAAAGCUAGGGGAGCGAACAGG
RNAcentral lists this ribosomal RNA (253 nucleotides) under uncultured bacterium. RNAcentral's name for it is "partial 16S ribosomal RNA". It matches the Rfam family "Bacterial small subunit ribosomal RNA", at positions 524 to 776 of the family's 1533-position model. The record is from RNAcentral.